This is a long non-coding RNA of Oncorhynchus tshawytscha (Chinook salmon), 526 nucleotides long. The record is from Ensembl. NCBI's taxonomy places the organism in Eukaryota, Metazoa, Chordata, Actinopteri, Salmoniformes, Salmonidae.
GUUGCGUCCCAUUUCACAAAAAAGCAGACCCCCAGAAAUCCCUGUUAUGUCACGUCCAUCAGGGGUUGUCAGUCCUUCACUUUUUCUCACCUCUCUCUUCCUCCCCGCUUUCUCUAUCGCUCAGUCAGUAGUUUUGCUUGGCCUGCUUUUUUGGGUGACCCUUAAGAUGACGUGUAGUAUUGACAUUUCCUCAUACAGUAUAGUAGAAUCACAUAAUGUAGAAAGAUGUCUAGUGACCAUCCCUCAUAAAACUACAUUUACAGCAGAAUGAAUUAGGUCUCAUAAAACUACAUUUACAGCAGAAUGAAUUAGGUCUCAUAAAACUACAUUUACAGCAGAAUGAAUUAGGUCUCAUAAAACUACAUUUACAGCAGAAUGAAUUAGGUCUCAUAAAACUACAUUUACAGCAGAAUGAAUUAGGUCUCAUAAAACUACAUUUACAGUAGAAUGAAUUAGGUCUCAUAAAACUACAUUUACAGCAGAAUUAAUUUGGUCUCAUAAAACUACAUUUACAGCAGAAUGAAUU